UAGUCCACACCGUAAACGAUGAAUGCCAGUCGUCGGGCAGUAUACUGUUCGGUGACACACCUAACGGAUUAAGCAUUCCGCCUGGGGAGUACGGUCGCAAGAUUAAAACUCAAAGGAAUAGACGGGGACCCACACAAGCGGUGGAUUAUGGGGUUUAAUUCGUCAAUAAGCGAGUAACCUUACCCAGACUUGACAUCCUAUUCGUACCUUUUAGAAAUAAUUGGGUCGGUUCGGCCGGAAUAGUGACAGGCGUUGCAUGGUUGCCGUCAGCUCGUGCCUUGAGGUGUUCGGUUAAGUCCGUUAACGAGCGCAACCCUCGUCGUAUGUUGUAUUUUCAUGCGAGACUGCCCGUUACAAACGGGAGGAAGGUGAGGAUGACGUCAAAUCAGCAUGACCCUUAUGUCUGGGGCUACACCCGUAAUACAAUGGUCUGUACAAACUGAAACGAAGCCGUAAGGUGGAGCGAAAUCAGAAAAAACAGAUCUCAGUUCGGAUUGAAGUCUGCAACUCGACUUCAUGAAGUUGGAAUCGCUA
RNAcentral lists this ribosomal RNA (534 nucleotides) under uncultured bacterium. RNAcentral's name for it is "bacterial SSU rRNA". It matches the Rfam family "Bacterial small subunit ribosomal RNA", at positions 791 to 1337 of the family's 1533-position model. The record is from RNAcentral.